Molecule: ribosomal RNA, 207 nt
Filed under: uncultured bacterium
Lineage: Bacteria
Description: partial 16S ribosomal RNA
Rfam family: Bacterial small subunit ribosomal RNA
Source: RNAcentral
UGCGUAGGUGGUUGUUUAAGUCUGUCGUGAAAGCCCUGGGCUCAACCUGGGAAUUGCGAUGGAAACUGGGCGACUAGAGUGUGGCAGAGGGUAGUGGAAUUCCUGGUGUAGCAGUGAAAUGCGUAGAGAUCAGGAGGAACAUCCGUGGCGAAGGCGACUGCCUGGGCCAACACUGACACUGAGGCACGAAAGCGUGGGGAGCAAACA